ACAACGUAACAAGGUCUCCGUUGGUGAACCAGCGGAGGGAUCAUUAUAGAGUAGUUUUUACAACAACUCCAAACCCAUGUGAAUUUACCUAUGUUGCCUCGGCGGGGGAACCUACCCGGUACUCCCCGCCGAUGGACCAUUAAACUCUGUUUAUUUUGUAACUUCUGAGUGUUUAAACUUAAUAAGUUAAAACUUUCAACAACGGAUCUCUUGGUUCUGGCAUCGAUGAAGAACGCAGCGAAAUGCGAUAAGUAAUGUGAAUUGCAGAAUUCAGUGAAUCAUCGAAUCUUUGAACGCACAUUGCGCCCAUUAGUAUUCUAGUGGGCAUGCCUGUUCGAGCGUCAUUUCAACAAUCAAGCCCUAUUUGCUUGGCGUUGGGAGCGUAACCUGCCUGGCAGGAUACCUCCUCAAAUAUAUUGGCGGAGUCGCGAAGACCCCAAGCGUAGUAAUUCUUCUCGCUUCUGGUGUGUCGGCGCUGGCAUUCAGCCAUUAAACCCCUAAUUUUUUAGUCUUGACCUCGGAUCAGGUAGGAAUACCCGCUGAACUUAAGCAUAUCAAAGGUGGGAGGAACA
RNAcentral lists this ribosomal RNA (572 nucleotides) under Allocryptovalsa rabenhorstii. RNAcentral's name for it is "eukaryotic LSU rRNA". The stretch from base 191 to 344 matches the Rfam family "5.8S ribosomal RNA". The record is from RNAcentral. Lineage: Eukaryota; Fungi; Ascomycota; Sordariomycetes; Xylariales; Diatrypaceae.